CCCUCUUUGUGUUCAAACCUCAGGCAACCUUCAAAGCCAAUUGAAAGGCAGAGAGAGCUCAGUAAAUUACUCGUGCCCUCACUGACCUCCCCCCAUCUCUGAAUCCCUAUAGCAUUAGGAGCGAGGAAUUCUGAACUUAUAAUGUUGAUUCUCCUCUAAUCCAAUAUAAUACCACCUGGUAAUUGUAUAGAGCUUGCAUGUACUAUUGCAUUUGGUCCUUACAACCUGGCAAAAUAAAGCAGACUGUUUGUUGUAAUCCCCGUUUUGCAGACUUCUGAGAAGCAGAGUCUCAGAAACCCACACAAAAUCAUGUAGCUAAGUGGAAUGGUUCAGGCCGAGACUGAACAGACUUUCUGCCGCACCAAAAGGGAGACUUCUUCUCCAGAAGAACUGCAACAUCCUUGCAGAGGUAAAAGAAACAUAAGAUACAGCAUCUACUAUGUAUAGACACUAGCAUGGGGCUUUUUCAAAAACAAUGAGGGUGGACUGAUUUAUAGAGGAGGUGAAACCGCCCCAGGAAAAUUUAACGUGUUUGCCGAGUGGUCUGGGAAAAUUCAGAGGGAGCUGACCUGUCCAACUUGUGUCUAACCCUGCUCUGUAAAGACGGUCAUACGGGACAUUACUAACCCCCAGGAGUGCUUCCGGGGCCCCUGAGGAACUAGUGGCAUCAUGGAGCAUGACCCCGUCUGCUGAAACACCGAGAAAGAUCUGGUACACGUUCUUCUGACAUCUGGCAUAGAAAACAAUUUUACCUUUAUAUUACACAAGAAAAUAGCCGUGUCUUCGCUCUGUCUUUGGCUGACAGCUGAGGCGUGGACGUUUUCGUCGAUUUCCCCUCAUUGUAAAAAUAAAAGUUCUGUGAGAGAUCCAGGAUGCCCCCAGAAGCUGAAGUCUUAAGAUUCUCUCCUUUGUCUCCAUAAAUGGAUCCAUUUAACCCUCCUCUAUGUUGGGUUUCAGAAAGCCUUUCAUUUUAUCUGGAAGCACUGUGUUUUUCUGAGAAAAAGGAGUGAUCCCUUUACUGAAGAACCCCAAAGAGGAGAAUCAGUUUCCUUCACCAAACCCCCAGAUGAAGGAAAGCUCUGGCAAAGUAAGAGCAUGUUCUCGUGCUGGUCAGGAUCACCUGCUCUGCAUAGGUCUACACUGUAAUUCCAUCUAAGCUCCUUUCAAAAAGGGAAAUGCUUCCAUUCAAAGGGCCUUUGUUCCAGUUACCAAAAGAACAUGUUAUGAAAUUCUAAGCAAAGUCUAUUUCUGUAGGGCAAAUAGGAUAUGUUUAACAGAAUAAGGGAAAAAACAUUGUGGAAAGAACCUCAAUCUACUGAGCCCCUGGAUAGGAGGAAAUCAGGAUUCAUGAGGAAAAAUAAAACACAAGAUAUGAAGCUUACAAUUCUGUGUCACUAUGACUUCUUAGUGCAGAGUUUUAAUCUAAGAGGCUCUAGCAAGCUGGUUCCACUAAGAAUUCUCUAGGAAUUCUCAUUCCUGCUAUAGGAUUAUCAGAGUUUGGUCAUGCCCACCUGUUAUCGUUCUCAAAUGACAGUCGAGGUAUGUAUAAAAUGUAAAGCAUUUAUUUAUGUGAAAUAACAAAAAUCCAGUU
Molecule: long non-coding RNA, 1591 nt
Organism: Lutra lutra (Eurasian river otter)
Lineage: Eukaryota; Metazoa; Chordata; Mammalia; Carnivora; Mustelidae
Exons: 3
Source: RefSeq, a predicted model, not a curated record